CUCCUGGGCGUGGGCGUUGAUUCCUGACCCUGCGGCCGGGCUCAAGCCACGCAGGAGCCCUCCCCGCACCAGAAGAUAGUGCAGACCGCUAACAAAACCGUCAUUCCGGAAAAACUGCACCUAAUGUAAUACUCUGCACUCGGGGACCACUCAAUAACAGCUCGCAGGUGCCAGGGAGGCAGUUCUUUACCGGAGACGCUGAAGCACUUGUGUGUGGACGUUGAGCGUUUCCCGCGAGGGAAGAAGACGACAGGUCAAGCAGCCUCCAUUUUGCAGACAGGAGAACUAAUGCACCCGGCAGCCCCGUCGCAAAAGACUAGGAUAUAUCCAGAACCCGUUUCUCGUGGCACAGGCCCUGAAAAUAUGCUUAGGCUACCCGUGGACUCCAUGAGGAACUUGCAAUUCUUCAGACAUGCAAUUUGUAUUUUGGGGAUGUCAGAGUGAAUGAAACAGCCUCAUAAAUUCACAAGCUCCCCAAGCAUUACUUGUAGAGGAAAAAUGUCACCAUACAUCAUUUUAAGAAUUUAGAAAUGCUGUUUGGGGACAUCUGAUUCCCAGGACACACACAGCAAGAACACAAAAGGAAAAGAAAAACAAACAAGGAAAACAGAAAAUCUCAUUAGGCGGAGCAGGUACUUUCAACCAACUCUCUGAUAAAGACUUUCAACAACCAACUCUUUUAUCCUUGAAGACUCCACAACAUAGAACCCCAAAAGGGAAUAUAAUUGAGAUCAUUUCUAAUGAGUUCCAAUUUCUGCCUAGGAUCAUUCACUCUGUGGGAUGCCAGCUGCAAGGAGGACACUAAAAGGAGGAAUACGCCAGAAUCCAUAUGGCAAGGAUCUGAGGCCUCUUGCCAACUUCCACCCUCAACUUGUCAGUCAUGAGAAUAUGCCAUCUUUGGAGCAGAACCUCCAGCCCCAGUCCAGCUUUCAGGUGACUGUGGCCCUGGCCAACACACUGACACCUCAUGUGAUAUCCUGUGGCCAGACCACCUAGCUAAGACAGCUCCUGGAUUCCUGACUCUCAGAGACUGUAUGAGAUAAUAAAUAUUUACUAUGGUUUUAAGCCAUUA
Molecule: long non-coding RNA, 1072 nt
Organism: Neofelis nebulosa (Clouded leopard)
Lineage: Eukaryota; Metazoa; Chordata; Mammalia; Carnivora; Felidae
Exons: 6
Source: RefSeq, a predicted model, not a curated record